ACGGGUGAGUAAUGUCUGGGGAUCUGCCCGAUAGAGGGGGAUAACCACUGGAAACGGUGGCUAAUACCGCAUAACGUCGCAAGACCAAAGAGGGGGACCUUCGGGCCUCUCACUAUCGGAUGAACCCAGAUGGGAUUAGCUAGUAGGCGGGGUAAUGGCCCACCUAGGCGACGAUCCCUAGCUGGUCUGAGAGGAUGACCAGCCACACUGGAACUGAGACACGGUCCAGACUCCUACGGGAGGCAGCAGUGGGGAAUAUUGCACAAUGGGCGCAAGCCUGAUGCAGCCAUGCCGCGUGUAUGAAGAAGGCCUUCGGGUUGUAAAGUACUUUCAGCGGGGAGGAAGGCGAUGGGGUUAAUAACCUUAUCGAUUGACGUUACCCGCAGAAGAAGCACCGGCUAACUCCGUGCCAGCAGCCGCGGUAAUACGGAGGGUGCAAGCGUUAAUCGGAAUUACUGGGCGUAAAGCGCACGCAGGCGGUCUGUUAAGUCAGAUGUGAAAUCCCCGGGCUUAACCUGGGAACUGCAUUUGAAACUGGCAGGCUUGAGUCUUGUAGAGGGGGGUAGAAUUCCAGGUGUAGC
This 581-nucleotide ribosomal RNA is filed under the name uncultured bacterium. RNAcentral's name for it is "bacterial SSU rRNA". It matches the Rfam family "Bacterial small subunit ribosomal RNA", at positions 102 to 679 of the family's 1533-position model. The record is from RNAcentral. RNAcentral also lists the same sequence under 1 other name.